AGCAAUGGCUGGAAGCGCAUCUACAUUCUGUCAUUGUUUGUGGAACACAUGCUGCUGGGUUUCCAAAAUCAGCUCAGGUUACUGGUCCUGGAUCACAUUAAAACCUUAAGCAGGGUUCUGGAGAGAACUUCAGAUGUGAAAGCUGUGGAGGCCUUUGUAGCUGUAGUUGAAGUUCUGAAGUCCUGUAAGCAGAAGGCAGUGGAUCAGAUGUUCAGGUUUGGACUUCAGUGUGGGGUGUGCAUAAAGGACCCUCAGGAACCUGUAGAGCUGCCUUGCUAUCACAUCUACUGCUUAACAUGCAUCAAAGCAUGCCUUGAUGCAGGACAGAUAUCCUGUCCCAGCUGCAGGCAUCAGUUACCAGAUGGCUUUCAACCAC
Molecule: long non-coding RNA, 376 nt
Organism: Acanthochromis polyacanthus (spiny chromis)
Lineage: Eukaryota; Metazoa; Chordata; Actinopteri; Pomacentridae
Exons: 3
Source: RefSeq, a predicted model, not a curated record